This 253-nucleotide ribosomal RNA is filed under the name uncultured bacterium. RNAcentral's name for it is "partial 16S ribosomal RNA". It matches the Rfam family "Bacterial small subunit ribosomal RNA", at positions 524 to 776 of the family's 1533-position model. The record is from RNAcentral.
UACGGGGGGGGCAAGCGUUGUUCGGAAUUACUGGGCGUAAAGGGCUCGUAGGCGGCCAACUAAGUCAGACGUGAAAUCCCUCGGCUUAACCGGGGAACUGCAUCUGAUACUGGAUGGCUUGAGUUUGGGAGAGGGAUGCGGAAUUCCAGGUGUAGCGGUGAAAUGCGUAGAUAUCUGGAGGAACACCAAUGGCGAAGGCAGCUCGCUGGGACGGUACUGACACUGAGACGCGAAAGCGUGGGGAGCAAACAGG